RNAcentral lists this long non-coding RNA (784 nucleotides) under Fukomys damarensis (Damara mole-rat). Its description in RNAcentral is "lncRNA (ENSFDAG00000022041.1)". The record is from RNAcentral. Lineage: Eukaryota; Metazoa; Chordata; Mammalia; Rodentia; Bathyergidae.
UUUCCGUCUGCCUCUUGCCCCAGCUAGCUAACCCACAUUUGCCUCCGAAUAAACUGACCUGGCUUCCAAUGGUUCCUGUCGAUUCACCUGGACUCAAGGAUUUUAGAAUGCACCCACUCUGUUCAGUGAGGACUCCCAAAAAGACUUGUCUCUUCAACAGGUACAGGCUUCUGUCCAUGCCACCAUAGGCACUACCCUACCCUUACGUGGCUCUGUGCCCUGCCACCCAUUCCAGCAGGGUGACACCGUGCUCAUCAGGCCUCCCAAAAAGAGAAUCCUCCUACCAUGGAAGGGACCAUACUCUGUCAUCCUCAUCCUGCUUUACCUCAGACUCCUGAUGGGGCCCUGUGUUCUUAAUUAGAUAAUUAACUUUAUAAAACAGUGUAUAGCCUCAGUUAAACUGUUACACAUAAAAACUUACUAUAGUCCCCUACUCACUCAGGAGGCGAUGAAUCAAUGCUUUGACAGCAUUUUUAAGAGGAGCUGGGAAUGUGAUAGCCAACCUGACUCCACUUGUGUAAAGUCAAGUAAUUCCUGCAGGUCAUCUUUCCCUUCCCCCUUGUAAGUCCCCUCAGUUAAUGCACGACAGACUGCCACAUCCUAUGUGAGUUUGCACCUGUGUUAUUUUACCACAAACAGGAUGCUUUGCACCUGUGUGAUAUUUUAAUUAAACUGACCCCUGACCCCCACUAUUUGCAGCAUUCUGCUUCUGUGAAAUUUUGCUUGUGCUCCCCCUUUCCCUGAGCCCUCCCCAAAUAGAAGAGCCCUUAAAAGGCCCCUGUAA